AUUGAACGCUGGCGGCAUGCCUAACACAUGCAAGUCGAGCGGAUGAAGGAAGCUUGCUCCUGGAUUCAGCGGCGGACGGGUGAGUAAUGCCUAGGAAUCUGCCUGGUCGUGGGGGAUAACGUCCGGACACGGGCGCUAAUACCGCAUCCGUCCUGAGGGAGAAAGUGGGGGAUCUUCGGACCUCACGCUAUCAGAUGAGCCUAGGUCGGAUUAGCUAGUUGGUGGGGUAAAGGCCUACCAAGGCGACGAUCCGUAGCUGGUCUGAGAGGAUGAUCAGUCACACUGGAACUGAGACACGGUCCAGACUCCUACGGGAGGCAGCAGUGGGGAAUAUUGGACAAUGGGCGAAAGCCUGAUCCAGCCAUGCCGCGUGAGUGAAGAAGGUCUUCGGAUUGUAAAGCACUUUAAGUUGGGAGGAAGAGAAGUAAGUUAAUCCCUUGCUGUUUUGACGUUACCAAAAGAAUAAGCACCGGCUAACUUCGUG
Molecule: ribosomal RNA, 484 nt
Filed under: uncultured bacterium
Lineage: Bacteria
Description: partial 16S ribosomal RNA
Rfam family: Bacterial small subunit ribosomal RNA
Source: RNAcentral